RNAcentral lists this long non-coding RNA (543 nucleotides) under Vulpes vulpes (red fox). Its description in RNAcentral is "lncRNA (ENSVVUG00000029528.1)". Lineage: Eukaryota; Metazoa; Chordata; Mammalia; Carnivora; Canidae. The record is from RNAcentral.
GUCGGAGUCUCUUCUAAUUCUUUCCUACACUGACCGCAGAGUGGCUGAGACGUGGGUGAGCCCAGGAGACAGUGGAGAUGAAGCAGGAGCAGGGGCGGAGGCGCCGGAGCUCGUGGGGGCCCAGCGCGGGCAUGAGGCCCCCGGAGGGAGCAGCUGCCCCAUGGGGUCUGCAGCCCCGACCCUCCUCCUACCACGGCCGCCUCUGCUCUUCUGGCUCCGGGUCCCUCCACGUCGAAGCAAAUGGUGGGUAUUUGGACGAUGCCCUUCCUAUGGCUGCAGUUGGAGGAGCUUCUCCUGUGUUUGCAUAAAGAGUGCAAAAAUGACAUCUUCUGCACAAAGGCUUCUUGUUUCUCCCUGGAGGACGUCUCUCUGGGGCACGAACUGUUGGAUGGGGGAGCAUGGAUUCUUGGGGCGGACUCACGAUAUAUCAUAAGAGAUCUCACUUUGCUGCUUAUUUUAUUGUUUCUGGUAUCAUGUGGUUAAUAAUUCCCACCAGUAAAAAAUAAUAAUAAUAAAAUUUAAAAAUAAAUAAAUAAAUAAACA